AAAAACAUAGCUUCUAGCCCAACAACUAUUAGAAGUAGCGCCUGCCCUGUGGACCCCCUAAACGGCCGCGGCACCAAAACCGUGCAAAGGUAGCACAAUCAUUUGUCCUUUAAAUGGGGACUCGUAUGAAAGGCAGCACGAGAGAAAACCUGUCUCCUAAGACCAGCCAAUGAAAUUGAACUACCAGUACAAAAGCUGGUAUAUUAAAGCAAGACAAAAAGACCCCGUGGAACUUAAUAACCCGUUUACGCAAACUAAACGAUAACUUUAGUUGGGACAACUUUAGAAAAAUUAAACCUCUAACACCGCCAAGGCCAACAAGCCUAAGAUAUUAAAACUGACCCAGUCACACUGAUUAAUGAAAUAAGCUACCCCGGGGAUAACAGCGCCACCUUCUCAAAAGUCCAUAUUAACAAGAAGACCUACGACCUCGAUGUUGGAUCGGGGUACCCCGACGGCGCAGCAGCUGUCAAAGGUUCGUUUGUUCAACGACUAACRCCCCACGUGAUCUG
Molecule: ribosomal RNA, 512 nt
Filed under: Rhampholeon uluguruensis
Lineage: Eukaryota; Metazoa; Chordata; Lepidosauria; Squamata; Chamaeleonidae
Description: partial 16S ribosomal RNA
Rfam family: Bacterial large subunit ribosomal RNA
Source: RNAcentral